RNAcentral lists this non-coding RNA (141 nucleotides) under Ctenophora environmental sample. The record is from RNAcentral. Lineage: Eukaryota; Metazoa; Ctenophora.
AGGUGAAAAAAAAAACGCACGCCAAAAAAAAAAAAAAAAAAAUUAAAAAAAAAACCAACGAAACAAAGAAACGAACGUUUCUGAUCCCGUCGUUCCCUUUUUUGUUGGUACCAUGGGUUCUUUGCUUUCUUUGGCUGUUUU